Molecule: small RNA, 1320 nt
Filed under: Pan troglodytes (chimpanzee)
Lineage: Eukaryota; Metazoa; Chordata; Mammalia; Primates; Hominidae
Description: retained intron
Source: RNAcentral
UUAGUGAUGCUGAACGUUGUUGGCAUGAACCUGGUAUGUCUUCUUUUGAGAAGCAUUUUCACAAGCCAUUGGUGAAGUAUGUGGCUCACCACCACCCAUACUCCAGCCCUGUUCCCAGUCACUGGUACCUAGAGGGUGAGAGUGAGGCUGCUCAUCACGUGUUCUCCAAGUCAUAAGCUGCUGCUCUCCCACUCACGAUGCUUGGUGAUUCAGUGAUGUUUUCCACUUAAAGACAGUGAUAGCUGUAUCACCACAGUUAAUAGAUGUCUGAUGUGUCCCAGUCACAGAGAUAAUACAAAUGUGAGGAAAUAAUGCUGGUGCAUGAAAGCAUUGGAGACCAUUUGUAAGAAUGCCAUUUGGUAGUUAAAGUGAACAUGAAAAUUGUUUAGUUUUUCUUGGUUUCAUAAACAUUUUUUCUUCCUGUAGAACUGAUAAAUUUCAAACGGAAGAGAGUGGCAGCAUUUAGAAAGAAUCUAAUUGAAAUGUCUGAACUGGAAAUAAAACAUGCCAGGAACAAUGUCUCCCUUUUGCAGAGCUGUAUUGACUUGUUCAAGAAUAACUGAUAUGCUUUCACUCAGAAGAAAAGAAAUGAAUGUGAAAGAAAGCCAAGCAUCACUUGCACUUAAAUCAUUACCACGGAAGAUAUAUUAGCUUCAACUCUAGUUUAAAAUUAUGUGAAUAAAUAUUUUGAUUUCUACAAAUCUUAACAUUUAACCAUGUUGGUUUAAAAAUAUUAUUGCUUGCUACUUGGACAUAACUAAUUUUUCCUUGUGCAUUUAAUACCUCUGGGCAGAAUCCAAAUACUGGGUUCUCCCGUAGUUCGUCUUUAGUUACUAAGAAAGGGUGUAGGACACAUUAGCCUUCUGGAAACAAGUAGAAUCCAUCACCUGGCCCAUGUCCCUACAAACCCAUGAUUGUCAGGGAGGUGCCAGUUACAGCAGGUGAUUCAGCUACUUGAGGUCGGUAACAGACCUUCCAUUCCUCACUGAAGGUGGGGUUUGUGUUUUUGUUUUGCCCUGUUACUCCACUGGUAGUCAUCUGGUGUUUGUACUAUAACAACAGCAAGAAAAUCUCAUUUAUCUUUAUAUACUCUUUGCACCUCCUUUUUUUAGUCGAGAUAUAAAUAUUUGAGGGGAGAGAAAUAUCUACAGGUAUAUAUGGAAACAAAUAAUGUGGUCUGCUUUAUAAGAUGGCCAGAUCUACAUUAGGAAAAGUAUGAGCCCCCUCCCUAAUGGCCGCUGGGGGGUGAGGGGGGUGUGUUGUAUGUCUUUGGGUGUUUGUUUUUUUAUAAAGCAUAUAAUAAAAUAAUCGUGCUACUAA